RNAcentral lists this transfer RNA (76 nucleotides) under Gammaproteobacteria bacterium. RNAcentral's name for it is "tRNA-Glu". It matches the Rfam family "tRNA". Rfam says of the family: Transfer RNA (tRNA) molecules are approximately 80 nucleotides in length. Their secondary structure includes four short double-helical elements and three loops (D, anti-codon, and T loops). Lineage: Bacteria; Pseudomonadati; Pseudomonadota; Gammaproteobacteria. The record is from RNAcentral.
GUCCCCAUGGUCUAGCGGUUAGGACACCACCCUUUCAAGGUGGGAGCGGCGAGUUCGAUUCUCCUGGGGGACACCA